UGAGCGGGGCCGCGGGGCCGGAAUGGAGAAAGUGGGACUGCCGGGGACCUAGAGAGCGAGCGGCGCCGCCCGUGGGGACUGCGGCUGGAGGUGGGAAGUCGUGGCGAGCUGGACCAGGUGCUCAGGCUGAGGCGGCCGCCCUCCCUUCGCAGGGUGUGCGUGCGCCUAGUGCCAGCUGUGCGGGAUCCGCACAUGCUGACCUUCCUGCAGCAACUGCGGGUGGACUGGCCCGCUGCCUCGGAGAGAGCUUCCUCCCACACCCUGAGGAGCCACGCCCUUGAAGAACUUACCUCUGCUAAUGACGGGAGGACACUGUCCCCUGGCAUCCUAGGCAGACUGUGUCUGAAGGAGCUGGUGGAAGAACAGGGCCGCACAGCUGGCUAUGACCCCAACCUGGACAACUGUCUGGUGACUGAGGAUCUCCUCUCUGUGCUGGCUGAGCUGCAAGAGGCUCUAUGGCAUUGGCCCGAGGACAGCCACCCAGGCCUGGUUAGUGACUCCCAGCCCUGUAGGUUCUCCCAAACCAAGUAUACUGUACUUCCACAGUUAUGAUUGUCCUCCCUUAGGCUGGGGCCUCAGAUACCGGUACAGGCGGCUGCCUGGUUGUACAUGUUGUUAGCUGUGAGGAGGAGUUCCAGCAACAGAAGUUGGACCUGCUUUGGCAGAAGUUGGUUGACAAGGCUCCACUCAGACAGAAGCACCUGAUCUGUGGCCCUGUGAAAGUAGCUGGUGCACCUGGCACUCUGAUGACUGCCCCUGAGUACUACGAACCCAGCCUGGACAGAGAUCUUUGGUGUUCUCUCUGUGGCCACCAUCAAGUUUGAGAUGCUGAGCACAGCCCCACAGAGUCAGCUCUUCCUGGCUCUGGCUGACAGCAGUAUCUCCACGAAGGGCACAAAGAGUGGCACCUUUGUCAUGUAUAAUUGUGCCCGUCUUGCCACACUCUUUGAGAGUUACAAGUGUAGUAUGGAACAAGGUCUGUACCCCACUUUUCCUCCUGUGAGCAGUCUGGACUUCUCACUGCUACAUGAUGAGGUGAGUGUCCCUCCUGGUAGCUGGCACAAGGAGGCCUGGACUUCCCCUCCCAGCACCUUUCUCCCCCACAGGGUGAGUGGUUGUUGCUCUUCAACAGUAUCCUCCCCUUUCCGGAUCUGCUGAGCCGGACAGCAGUGCUGGACUGCACAGCCCCGGGGCUCCACAUUGCUGUACGCACAGAGAUGGUGAGGCAUAGACAACCAGGACACUCUACACUCUAUUCUUUAUUCUGGCCUGGGGCACAAGAGCAAAGAGAUGGGCCAGUGACUCAGUCUCUGUCUCUAGAUAUGCAAGUUCCUGGUACAGCUCAGCAUGGAUUUCAGCUCCUACUACAACCGGGUACACAUCCUGGGGGUGAGCACACAGCAAAACGGGGUGGGACGUGCAGAGGGGUACAGGGUAAAGGCAAAGGAAGCAGAGGAUGAGACCAGCAGGCCCUUUCUCUUUCAGGAGCCUCGACCACACCUCUUUGGUCAGAUGUUCGUCCGCCUGCAGCUUCUGAGAGCUGUGCGUGAGGUGCUCCAUACUGGCCUGGCUAUGCUGGGUCUCCCUCCACUGAGCCACAUCUAAGGCCACAGAGGCUCCAAUACCUGGGAAUGUUCACAAAGUCAUCAACUGGAAAAAAAGCAAAAA
Molecule: small RNA, 1668 nt
Filed under: Pan troglodytes (chimpanzee)
Lineage: Eukaryota; Metazoa; Chordata; Mammalia; Primates; Hominidae
Description: retained intron
Source: RNAcentral